Molecule: ribosomal RNA, 422 nt
Filed under: uncultured bacterium
Lineage: Bacteria
Description: partial 16S ribosomal RNA
Rfam family: Bacterial small subunit ribosomal RNA
Source: RNAcentral
AAUUUUGGACAAUGGGGGACACCCUGAUCCAGCCAUCCCGCGUGUAUGAUGAAGGCCUUCGGGUUGUAAAGCACUUUUGGCAGAGAAGAAAAGGUAUCUCCUAAUACGAGAUACUGCUGACGGUAUCUGCAGAAUAAGCACCGGCUACCUACCUGCCAGCAGCCGCGGUAAUACGUAGGGUGCAAGCGUUAAUCGGAAUUACUGGGCGUAAAGCGUGGGUAGGAGGUUCGGAAAGAAAGAUGUGAAGACCCAGGGCUAAACCUUGGAACUGCAUUUUUAACUGCCGAGCUAGAGUAGGUCAGAGGGGGGUAGAAUUCCACGUGUAGCAGUGAAAUGCGUAGAUAUGUGGAGGAAUACCGAUGGCGAAGGCAGCCCCCUGGGAUAAUACUGACGCUCAGACACGAAAGCGUGGGGAGCAAACA